This 191-nucleotide small RNA is filed under the name Arabidopsis thaliana (thale cress). RNAcentral describes it as "ATSL092990". Lineage: Eukaryota; Viridiplantae; Streptophyta; Magnoliopsida; Brassicales; Brassicaceae. The record is from RNAcentral.
AAUCAAAUAAUUAGUCAUGUAAAUCACUUUUAAAAGGCUUUUAAAAUCCCUUGUAAAUACUUAUCGAACACUGCUUAUCCUUUAAAAACGGCUUAAAAUCUUUAAAACUCCAUUUAGAAGCUUUUAAAAUCCCUUAUAAAAACGAUAAUCACAAAGAAUUAUAAUUUCAAUAAUUAUAAUAAGCCUUUUUA